RNAcentral lists this unclassified non-coding RNA (377 nucleotides) under uncultured Gammaproteobacteria bacterium. Its description in RNAcentral is "contains 16S-23S intergenic spacer region". Lineage: Bacteria; Pseudomonadati; Pseudomonadota; Gammaproteobacteria. The record is from RNAcentral.
UCCGGUUUGUCACCGGCAGUCUCCUUAGAGUUCCCACCCGAAGUGCUGGCAAAUAAGGACAAGGGUUGCGCUCGUUACGGGACUUAACCCAACAUCUCACGACACGAGCUGACGACAGCCAUGCAGCACCUGUCUCUCGGUUCCCGAAGGCACCAAGGCAUCUCUGCCAAGUUCCGAGGAUGUCAAGACCUGGUAAGGUUCUUCGCGUUGCGUCGAAUUAAACCACAUGCUCCACCGCUUGUGCGGGCCCCCGUCAAUUCAUUUGAGUUUUAAUCUUGCGACCGUACUCCCCAGGCGGUCAACUUAGCGCGUUAGCUUCGUCACUCAGGAGACAAGCUCCCCAACGACUAGUUGACAUCGUUUACGGCGUGGACUAC